AUUGAAUAGACGAGUUCAGAAAUGUGAAGUUUAUAAGCAGACCUUAGAAAAAUUUAAUUCUUCAGCAUUGCGCAGUUUAUCAAAAUUGUAAUAAGUACAACAAUUAACUUAUUGAAUAUUGUGAUUUAAAAUAACGCGUAUAAAAUGGUCCAUUAUAUUGUCAAUGAAUAAUCUAAGAAUAAAACUUUACAUAUAUAUAUAAAUACUUCCUCGUAUUUACACUUCUUGGAAAACUACUGUGCCUAUGUGGAGAACGGAUAGUUCAUUGUAUAACACGCUUUAAUUUGUACUUUGUCGUUUAAAUUGACGUUGAAAUAAGAACAUCAAAUCAACGUGACAGCAUUCUUUAUUCGUUGAUUCUUUUGGAUCCUUGAUUUUUGGAUAAAAAAUGUACUUUCAUUUAUAUUUCUAGAGUGUGUUUGAAAAUUUGAAAGUCAUUCCAAGGAUCACUGCAAAUACGAAUUAGCAGGAACUGCAACGCAUCCUACAAUAGUUUUGAUUGGAUAACGAAAUAUAGUUCAUCAUGGAGUACGUCGAUGCUACAAAAAAGGAAAGCAAUGACAACUCUUUCAACUCAACAUCUUGUUCUGAAUUAGUAUCAAACACGAAUUCCAAUGAGGACUCAACAAUAGGAACAAAGGAUUCAGCAUUAAAACGUGAAGUUCAAAACUCGCAAACAGAAGAUAAUGAUAAUUCAAUUACCUCAGAAAAUUCAUCACAAGAGAAUAUAGACUUUAAAGUGAUUUAUAACAAACAGAGAAUAAAUGUAAAUUUUGCGCUUGACGGUACUGUGGCAGAAUUAAAAGCGCACCUUCAGAACAUCAUAUCUGUGCCACAAGCUAUGCAGAAAGUUAUGAUCAAAGGAUUAGCCAAAGAUGAACAAACACUUAGAAGUUUGGGUGUUACAAAAGGUGCCAAAGUCAUGGUAGUAGGAUCAAAGUUAGACGACGUGUUAGCUGUGUCAAUUCCAACGAAACAAGAUCUUUCGGAUGAAGCUGCUUCCACUACAAAUAAGGAACCUUUAUCUCAACAGAAAAUGCAUAGGAAAGUAUUAGAUAAGGGUAUCCCUGAAGAUGUCAUGCCUGGUAUAUUAAAUAGUAAGGAACCUUUACCAGAAUUUCCAUUGGCUGGUAUGUUAAAUAAAUCUGGUGGUAAAGUUAGAUUAACAUUUAAAUUGGAACAAGAUCAACUAUGGAUCGGUACAAAAGAAAGAACAGACAAAAUACCUAUGAAUUCUAUAAAAGGUGUACACAGUGAACCAAUUCAUGAUCAUCCAGAAUAUCACAUUAUGGCCAUACAACUAGGCCCAACAGAAGCUUCAAGAUAUUGGAUAUACUGGGUUCCUGCGCAAUACAUAUCUGCUAUAAAAGACGCUAUCCUUGGCAAAUGGUGCUACUUCUGAUCAACCGUUGAUGGAAAUUUCUGUUUCUUCAAAAGCAAAGUGUAAUCAGGUGUAAGCAUUGAUACAAACACGACUGUACUAGUCACACAUUUUUAACAGAGGAAACGAAGAAAGAAGUUAUGAUGUUGCAUUUACAAUCUUUUGAAGUUCGUCGAGAAAUAAUUCAACUUUUUAUUUUUCAACUUUUAAAUUCGAUUAAAUUCGAAUUAUUUUAAAUUUUAUUUUAUGUUUAACAUCAAAAUACCUUUUGUAAAUGUUAUGCUUAGCAAAAGAAGAAUAAUCGAGAAUUAAUUUUCCUAUAUACAGUGCGAGGCAAAAGUAAGUAGACAAUGUUCAAAAUAGAAUACCUCGGUUAAAAUUGCACUAAAUAACUUGAGGUUUUUUGAAAAGCUAUAAAAAUUAAUUCA
RNA transcript from Osmia bicornis bicornis, 1809 nucleotides. It is a transcript of the gene named ubiquitin domain-containing protein UBFD1-like, with no coding region annotated. Lineage: Eukaryota; Metazoa; Arthropoda; Insecta; Hymenoptera; Megachilidae. The record is from RefSeq and is a predicted model, not a curated record. The transcript is spliced from 6 exons.